UUAUCCUUUCUACCUCUGCUACCUGUCAUCCCAAGCCAUUGUUCCAUGCACGUUUUUCAUGCCACACUAUCAGUCAGAAAUACACCAACAGUGCCAACAAACAUACAACGAUGAACCACCGCUGGCCAACAGACGAUGGUGGAUAAUAAAUUCUCCUAAUUGGCAAUCAGGGACUAGUGAGGACACCAGGGCUCCAAAUAGAGGAUGUCACGACGUGGGGGGUUUCGCAACUUACUGCGAGGAUUGUUCUCCCGGGAUGCAAACGGACUUUUCCGGACAAAGGUAGCAGGUUGAAACCAGGCAAACCACAGGCUUGAAAAAUUGUUGGUUUUAAACGCUCGCAGGUUGUUGCUGUGCCAUUGAAGUCCUGUGAGUGGUGUGUUUCAAACUGUUAAAAGGACGAGAAGACAACAAUGAACUUGGUGUAGAGUUAUGGCGUCUUUGAACAUGUUUUUUCCCAAGAUGUAUCCCUUUAAGUGUUGAAACUAUUAGACUUCCCCUUCAAUAUAUGGGCCAAA
Long non-coding RNA from Entelurus aequoreus (snake pipefish), 518 nucleotides. RefSeq lists it as uncharacterized. The record is from RefSeq and is a predicted model, not a curated record. The transcript is spliced from 4 exons. Lineage: Eukaryota; Metazoa; Chordata; Actinopteri; Syngnathiformes; Syngnathidae.